Lycium barbarum (goji berry) is the source of this 597-nucleotide long non-coding RNA. RefSeq lists it as uncharacterized. Lineage: Eukaryota; Viridiplantae; Streptophyta; Magnoliopsida; Solanales; Solanaceae. The transcript has 2 exons. The record is from RefSeq and is a predicted model, not a curated record.
AUCAUCCUCAGAAUAAAAGGUUUUAUCCUCUGUUUGAACUGGCAAGGCAUCUGCCUCCUCAGACAUGCAGAUUUUUAUUGUCAAGCCUGCAACCAAGAAUCACAUUAGAUUGAGGGAACCAGUAUCUAAUUGGAGUAAGGAGCGAGUAAGGGAUCUUCAAACCUGAAUUGAAAUGCCAAGACCAACCAUUCCGAGGCGCUGGUCUCCAACGCAAAGGUGAAACCUCAAGUGCAGGUUCUGCAUCGUGAUCCAAACUUCCUUCUAUGUUUUGACUUGGCCUUCCAUUCUCUGUACAUCAAGAAUUCAAGUAAAGUUUUCUCCCAAAGGUAACUUGCAAUUGAACCCCCAAAAAUAUUUUCCUACAUGUCUUUUGGAAAACAUGAGAAAGAUUCAGGGAAUAAAUACUAUCACAGCCAUUGUGGUCAUCCAGAAUAAUCUUGCCAGAAUUUAGUUCCCAUUGAAGGAGAUACUAAAAUAAUUUAUUUGCAGUAUGGACUCAGAGCUGAUGCAUCUGAUGGAUAGAAUCAUAUUCCCGCUUCUCUCCUUGUGAAAUCAGAUGGAUGUAACUUGUUUCUAAGUUGAGAACAGUUUUACUAA